RNAcentral lists this ribosomal RNA (255 nucleotides) under uncultured bacterium. RNAcentral describes it as "partial 16S ribosomal RNA". It matches the Rfam family "Bacterial small subunit ribosomal RNA", at positions 524 to 776 of the family's 1533-position model. The record is from RNAcentral.
UACAGAGGGUGCUAGCGUUGUUCGGAAUCAUUGGGCGUUAAAGGGCGUGUAGGCGGUUUGUUAAGUCAUGUGUGAAAACCCACGGCUCAACCGUGUGGUCUGCAGUCGAUACGGGCAGGCUAGAGUUCGGUAGGGGAGACUGGAAUUCCUGGUGUAGCGGUGAAAUGCGCAGAUAUCAGGAGGAACACCGGUGGCGAAGGCGGGUCUCUGGGCCUUACCUGACGCUGAGGCGCGAAAGCUAGGGGGAGCAACAGG